GGAGAGCUGGCAGAGCGGUCGAAUGCGGCGGUCUUGAAAACCGUUGACCCGAAAGGGUCCGGGGGUUCGAAUCCCUCGCUCUCCGCCA
RNAcentral lists this transfer RNA (88 nucleotides) under Gammaproteobacteria bacterium. RNAcentral describes it as "tRNA-Ser". It matches the Rfam family "tRNA". From Rfam's summary of the family: Transfer RNA (tRNA) molecules are approximately 80 nucleotides in length. Their secondary structure includes four short double-helical elements and three loops (D, anti-codon, and T loops). Further hydrogen bonds mediate the characteristic L-shaped molecular structure. tRNAs have two regions of fundamental functional importance: the anti-codon, which is responsible for specific mRNA codon recognition, and the 3' end, to which the tRNAs corresponding amino acid is attached (by aminoacyl-tRNA synthetases). tRNAs cope with the degeneracy of the genetic code in two manners: having more than one tRNA (with a specific anti-codon) for a particular amino acid; and 'wobble' base-pairing, i.e. permitting non-standard base-pairing at the 3rd anti-codon position. Lineage: Bacteria; Pseudomonadati; Pseudomonadota; Gammaproteobacteria. RNAcentral also lists the same sequence under 2 other names. The record is from RNAcentral.